GUAAUGCAUACAACAGACUCCCGUUUGUCGAGCGAAGUAAAAUGUAUAAUAUACCACGCGUUUACGUUAGCGAGCCCGGUCAAUAUACAGAAGAACUUGUAAGAUAGCUCGUAGAUUGAGCCGAUUGCAUUUUCCACUAAUAGUACUGGCGGGCAUUGAUUAUCAUACUCCACUACUAGAAUGUUAUUGCACGCCAUGUGCAGGAGUAACCAUUAUGUCACGUCAAUGCGCAAUUCUACUAAUGCAGUGUAGUAUGUUAUAUUCGUGAAACAACAGAGCUAUAUGAAUAUUAUGUAGCGCGAGAGAGAGAGAGAGAGAGAGAGAGAGAGAGAGAGAGAGAGAGAGAGAGAGAGAGAGAAAGAGAGAGAGAGAGAGCGAUAUGUAGAUAGAAGAGGAUAACGUUUGCGGCACAUAUGCCUCCUUCUCCCCGCUCAUCUCGCAAAUCUAUUUUACUGAACGACACUUCCUCCACCUGUUGCUUAUAGAAUAUGCGUAUUCGCUUUUCGAUGCGGUGCGGCUAUAUUUGUAGGUAUUCUGUGACAUGCAUACACGUGUGUACACUGUAUAUACAAAUUUUACACUCUGUUAUUUGUAUAGCUGGUGAAAGGAGGACGGAGAGCGGAAGGAAGAGAAAAAAGGCGCUGUAAGGCAAUACAACAUUCAAAAGAUAAUUGUCAUGCAACUGGACUCAAGUCUACGUAUAAUACAUAUAGGGCAUAGACGAGUAAUGAGUACAUGCAUAAUACCCAUACAUGUAUCUAAUAAUGGUAAAUUUCGAGUAUGCGUAACCUGGUUGAAUCGAAACUGACCCCACCGCUGAAGGUUGGCACCGGCAGCCUCUAACG
RNAcentral lists this long non-coding RNA (845 nucleotides) under Neodiprion lecontei (redheaded pine sawfly). RNAcentral describes it as "uncharacterized LOC124294710". Lineage: Eukaryota; Metazoa; Arthropoda; Insecta; Hymenoptera; Diprionidae. The record is from RNAcentral.